RNAcentral lists this ribosomal RNA (468 nucleotides) under uncultured bacterium. RNAcentral's name for it is "partial 16S ribosomal RNA". It matches the Rfam family "Bacterial small subunit ribosomal RNA", at positions 28 to 507 of the family's 1533-position model. The record is from RNAcentral.
GACGAACGCUGGCGGCGUGCUUAACACAUGCAAGUCGAACGGAAAGGCCCUGCUUUUGUGGGGUGCUCGAGUGGCGAACGGGUGAGUAACACGUGAGUAACCUGCCCUUGACUUUGGGAUAACUUCAGGAAACUGGGGCUAAUACCGGAUAGGAGCUCCUGCUGCAUGGUGGGGGUUGGAAAGUUUCGGCGGUUGGGGAUGGACUCGCGGCUUAUCAGCUUGUUGGUGGGGUAGUGGCUUACCAAGGCUUUGACGGGUAGCCGGCCUGGGAGGGUGACCGGGCACAUUGGGACUGAGAUACGGCCCAGAAUCCUACGGGAGGCAGCAGUGGGGAAUAUUGCACAAUGGGCGGAAGCCUGAUGCAGCAACGCCGCGUGCGGGAUGACGGCCUUCGGGUUGUAAACCGCUUUCGCCUGUGACGAAGCGUGAGUGACGGCAAUGGGUAAAGAAGCACCGGCUAACUACGUG